UACGUAGGGUGCAAGCGUUGUCCGGAAUCAUUGGGCGUAAAGAGCUCGUAGGCGGUUUGUCGCGUCUGCUGUGAAAACUGGAGGCUCAACCUCCAGCCUGCAGUGGGUACGGGCAAACUAGAGUGCGGUAGGGGAGAUUGGAAUUCCUGGUGUAGCGGUGGAAUGCGCAGAUAUCAGGAGGAACACCGAUGGCGAAGGCAGAUCUCUGGGCCGUAACUGACGCUGAGGAGCGAAAGCGUGGGGAGCGAACAGG
RNAcentral lists this ribosomal RNA (253 nucleotides) under uncultured bacterium. RNAcentral describes it as "partial 16S ribosomal RNA". It matches the Rfam family "Bacterial small subunit ribosomal RNA", at positions 524 to 776 of the family's 1533-position model. The record is from RNAcentral.